UACGAAGGGGGCUAGCGUUGCUCGGAAUCACUGGGCGUAAAGCGCACGUAGGCGGAUUGCUAAGUCAGGGGUGAAAUCCUGGAGCUCAACUCCAGAACUGCCUUUGAUACUGGCAACCUUGAGUCCGGGAGAGGUGAGUGGAACUGCGAGUGUAGAGGUGAAAUUCGUAGAUAUUCGCAAGAACACCAGUGGCGAAGGCGGCUCACUGGCCCGAUACUGACGCUGAGGCACGAAAGCGUGGGGAUCAAACAGG
This 253-nucleotide ribosomal RNA is filed under the name uncultured bacterium. Its description in RNAcentral is "partial 16S ribosomal RNA". It matches the Rfam family "Bacterial small subunit ribosomal RNA", at positions 524 to 776 of the family's 1533-position model. The record is from RNAcentral.